RNAcentral lists this ribosomal RNA (593 nucleotides) under Hanseniaspora uvarum. RNAcentral describes it as "eukaryotic LSU rRNA". It matches the Rfam family "Eukaryotic large subunit ribosomal RNA", at positions 49 to 656 of the family's 3401-position model. The record is from RNAcentral. Lineage: Eukaryota; Fungi; Ascomycota; Saccharomycetes; Saccharomycodales; Saccharomycodaceae.
UGCGGAGGAAAAGAAACCAACUGGGAUUACCUUAGUAACGGCGAGUGAAGCGGUAAAAGCUCAAAUUUGAAAUCUGGUACUUUCAGUGCCCGAGUUGUAAUUUGUAGAAUUUGUCUUUGAUUAGGUCCUUGUCUAUGUUCCUUGGAACAGGACGUCAUAGAGGGUGAGAAUCCCGUUUGGCGAGGAUACCUUUUCUCUGUAAGACUUUUUCGAAGAGUCGAGUUGUUUGGGAAUGCAGCUCAAAGUGGGUGGUAAAUUCCAUCUAAAGCUAAAUAUUGGCGAGAGACCGAUAGCGAACAAGUACAGUGAUGGAAAGAUGAAAAGAACUUUGAAAAGAGAGUGAAAAAGUACGUGAAAUUGUUGAAAGGGAAGGGCAUUUGAUCAGACAUGGUGUUUUUUGCAUGCACUCGCCUCUCGUGGGCUUGGGCCUCUCAAAAAUUUCACUGGGCCAACAUCAAUUCUGGCAGCAGGAUAAAUCAUUAAGAAUGUAGCUACUUCGGUAGUGUUAUAGCUUUUUGGAAUACUGUUAGCCGGGAUUGAGGACUGCGCUUCGGCAAGGAUGUUGGCAUAAUGGUUAAAUGCCGCCCGUCUUG